RNAcentral lists this long non-coding RNA (440 nucleotides) under Marmota monax (woodchuck). Lineage: Eukaryota; Metazoa; Chordata; Mammalia; Rodentia; Sciuridae. The record is from RNAcentral.
GGGAAGGGAGAUAUCAUGGCGAAGGGAAGACGGAGACAACUCUGGAGCAGCAGCAGCAGCAUGAGGAGAAAGAAUGGCUCAUGGACGUCAUGGCCAAAGAGAUCCUCACUAAGAAGUCCACUGGCCAGGACCAGGUCAAUACUGACUACUGCACCCAAGAUAAGUAUAUGGAGGUCAGUGGGAAUCUGAGGGAUUUGUAUAACGAUAAAGAUGGAUUAUAAAAGGAGGAGCUUAAUGCUAUUUCAGGACCCAAUGAGUUUGCUGAAUUCUAUAACAGACUCAAGCAAAUAAAGGAAUUCCAUUGGAAGCACCCAAAUGAGAUCUGUAUGCCUAUGUAAAUGGAAUUUGAGGAGCUCCUGAAAGCCCGUGAGAAUCCAAGAGAAGAGGCACAAAACCUGGUGGAGUUUAUAGAUGAAGAGGGAUAUGAUCUCUAUGACUGU